This 711-nucleotide ribosomal RNA is filed under the name uncultured Actinomycetes bacterium. RNAcentral describes it as "bacterial SSU rRNA". It matches the Rfam family "Bacterial small subunit ribosomal RNA", at positions 56 to 757 of the family's 1533-position model. Lineage: Bacteria; Bacillati; Actinomycetota; Actinomycetes. The record is from RNAcentral.
UGCAAGUCGAGCGAGAAAGCUCUUCGGAGUGAGUACAGCGGCGAACGGGUGAGUAACACGUGGGCAACCUGCCCUUGGGAGCGGGACAACCCGGGGAAACUCGGGCUAAUACCGCAUGUCCCCCUUGGUCAUAAGACUUUGGGGAAAAGGUAGCUUCGGCCUCCGCCCUUGGAUGGGCCCGCGUCGCAUUAGCUUGUUGGUGGGGUAACGGCCUACCAAGGCAACGAUGCGUAGCUGGUCUGAGAGGACGAUCAGCCACACUGGGACUGAGACACGGCCCAGACUCCUACGGGAGGCAGCAGUGGGGAAUCUUGCGCAAUGGGCGAAAGCCUGACGCAGCAACGCCGCGUGCGGGAAGACGGCCUUAGGGUUGUAAACCGCUUUCAGGGGGGACGAAGCUUCCGAGGUUAAUAGCCUACGGGGUGACGGUACCCCCAGAAGAAGCCCCGGCUAACUACGUGCCAGCAGCCGCGGUAAUACGUAGGGGGCGAGCGUUGUCCGGAAUCAUUGGGCGUAAAGCGCGUGUAGGCGGCUUGGCAAGUCUGGUGUGAAAUCUUGGGGCUCAACCCCAAGCGUGCACUGGAAACUGCCUCGCUAGAGUCCGGGAGAGGAGAGCGGAACUCCCAGUGUAGCGGUGAAAUGCGCAGAUAUUGGGAAGAACACCGACGGCGAAGGCAGCUCUCUGGAACGGUACUGACGCUGAGACGCGAA